RNAcentral lists this long non-coding RNA (29243 nucleotides) under Daucus carota (carrot). RNAcentral's name for it is "long non-coding RNA (DCAR_LNC003169)". The record is from RNAcentral. Lineage: Eukaryota; Viridiplantae; Streptophyta; Magnoliopsida; Apiales; Apiaceae.
AAGGCUACAGACAAUGAAGUAUAAAGACAGUUUCAAAGCAAAGUACAAGCUACUCAAUCCCAGGUUUAUAUUCCAACAUCUAAUCAAACAUCAGCUACCCGUACAUGUCAGGUUCUCAUAGUGCUUUUAGAAUCAAGUUUGCACCAUGUUGAGGUUGAACAGUUAGGACUGUGUAAGGAGCGUGAAUAUAGGAUGGGGAAAGCACAAAAGAAAAGCGUUGUAAGAUCAACGAUAGUGCCAUUUUAGCUUCCAGCAUUGCAAAAUUCUGUCCAAUGCAAAUCCGGGGUCCUAAGCCAAAUGGAAAAUAUACUCCUUUUCCCUUUGUUGCUUUUGACACGCCCUCAGAAAAUCUAUCCGGAUUGAAUUCCUUAGCAUCAGCACCCCAUAUAUCUAUGUCAUGAUGCAUUAGGAUGAUAGGUAGCUGCACUGUAACUCCAGCCGGUAGAAAUAUCUCUCCUAAUUUGACAUCUUGAUAUACAGCACGAUUUAGGAAAACUGCGGGUGGGUAUAAUCUUAGACUCUCAAGCAAAAUCAUAUUAACCUGCAGAACAAAGACAUAUAAAGCACUAGUCCGACAUGUACCUUUGUCAAUAUACAAAUUAUUGACCCUUUUCUGCUAUCAUAUUAUACAUCAUAAUAUUUGAUAAACACUGAAAAAAGUUCAUACUUGCAAGUUGACAACUUUGUUAAAUACGUUACCAAGUGCUUAUAAUAAAACUUACAAGUUUGAGGUGAUUCAUUCCAUCAAGAUCUGGUUUAUCCUUUCCAAAGACCUGAAAAACCUCUUCUCUGGCGCGCUCUUGCCAAUCUGAAUGUUGACUCAAUAGAACCAUAGCCCAGGUAAGUAGAUUUGAGGUUGUCUCUUGUCCAGCAUAAUAGAAUAACUUACACUCUUCGAUAACCUCAUCCACAGACAUUCCACAUUUCAUAUUUUUGUUUUCUUUGAUUUCUUCAGAAUUUGAUUUCAAUAAUAAACCCAACAAAUUGUCAUGAAUAUACUCUUCUACUUUCAUUGCCAGCAACCGCUUGUUAAUCAUAGACCUCAGUGCAGAUCUCACCUCACUCUCAAUCUGCCUCAUCCUUUUCAUUCUUUUGGUUGGCAAAAAUCUACAUUUAAAAGAUUCUAAUAAAUAUCAACCCUAGUAGAUGAAACACCAGAAGAUUUUAUACAACUUGCAAAAACAGAGAUGAGGAAUAAAAACCUCAUUCCUGGGAGGUACAAUGUUUGUACAUCUUGCAUGAGCAGCCCUCCUUGUUCUUUCAGUAGUUGAAAUAUUUGUCUCCCUUCUGCAUAGCUACUCCCAAAGGCUGUCCGUGAGAUGACAUCAGCUGUUAGAGUUCCCAAAUCAGGCCAUACAUCCACCUCGCAUUGCCCCUCAGUGGAAACCAUCGCCUCCCAUUUGCUCAUGAUCUCAAUACAACUUAAAUACAUGGCUGGCAGCAUAUCCUGUUUAUAUACAUCAUAAAAAAGAAAGACAAUGGUUGUUGAUACAAUAGAACAAAUACUGAUGACAAAAUAUCUUCCUGCUUGGCACUUACUAUCAUUCAGAUAGUACUGAUAAAAAUGACACUAUAAUUAGGUUUUAUAUCAUGGAGCAACGGAUCAAAAAUUCUUUUACUUGAAUUAAGUUAUGUAAUUGCAUCUAUACUAAAGAAAGUCACCUGGAGCAAAGACCUAAAUAUAUCAUCAACAUAUUUCUACUAACAAAAACAAAUCAACUUAACGUUUAAAAACAGCAUCUACAACUUCGAGCCAAGAUAGCUACAGGCAUGACCUUUGACUUGUCAAGAUGGAAAGCAGGAUUCAUAAUUUUCCGGUGUUCGGCCCAUGUCUCACCCUCAGCACUCACAAGUCCACAUGCGAGCAACUUGAAUAAAGGAUUACCUCCCCUGGUUUUCUGGAAGAUAGAGGUCUUAUUUAAGGCCUCUUUUAUAAGAUCAGGGUCCGUGAUGUAGACCUCUGGUCGCGGCCCUAGCCACAGAAAUGACUUCUUGCCUGCAACAAAGUAUAAAGCACAUGCUUUUGUAGUAAACAACUUUGUAAGGGUAGAGUUUACUAUUUAUGGAAAAUUAAGAUGAAAAAAUCACACAUGCUUUGCUGGGACUCAAGCAAGGGUUCCUACUGAAAACUCAAGCAUAGAAACCUUCUUGAUUAACAAUAAGAAAUCUUUUGCUAAUUCCCUGAUGAAACAUUCUUAAAGAAAGAAUUUGUGUUUAACAACUUUAAAGAGUGAGAGCAAAAAUACCUGGAGAAAUAAAUCACCUUUUCUUAAAUCACCUUUUCUUAAUGCUCUCAAGACCUAGUAGUACAGUAGAUGGGCUAAUUUCCAAUUACUAAUCACAUGACGCCUCGGAACUGGUAUGGGUUUGAGGUAUCAAUAUCUGAUAUCAUGAGUUUGGCUGAGUGCUCGAAUCAAUAUAUACAAUUUUUAUAAAAAAAUAAGUUAUUAAUAUAUAUUAAUUAAAAAUAUUAAUAAAAUUAUUAUUGUCAUAUAUUAUUGCAUCAUUAAUUUAAUUUUAUAUCAAACAUUAAUAUUUCAUUACUUAAAUAGAGAUAAAAAAUAAAAAAUAAAUGCAUCUCAUACCUUCAUCUCAUACCCACCUCUCUCCUUGGUAUCAAAAACUCAUAUCUUGGAAGUUUAAGGUAUGUGUUUCAGAAUUUGUUUUUCCCAACCAAACAUUAGGUAUGAGUUUGGAAUAGACAAAUUUUAUAAAACCCACGAACCAAACACCCAGAUUUUAUAUCUGUAUAUAAGUUUGUCCAUUUAAGCUUGACAAGGAUAAAUUACCUUUCUCUUGAACCUAAAUGUGUUACGGAAAGGUUUACCAAUAUUAUAUUAUAUAUUCACAUAUAUGCACUUGAAAACACGUACCGUGUUUACUAAUAGCAGUAAAUAUAGCAGGAGUAACGCGAGGUAUAAUAUCGUCAGACAAACUGAUGGGCUUGGACCUGGCCUCUUUUCCAGCGGCAGCGACUUCUUUAACGUCCCCAUACAAAAGCCUGUAAGGGUUUCCUUUGAAGCCCUGAUUCCUCAGAAUCUUUUCCAGCCUCUUGGGCCUGAUCCAAAUCCAGUUGAGUAGUUUCCAGGCUGUCACCACCACGUAUCCCAAAGCCAAGCUUACUAUAAGCUUGAAGUAUAUAUCUAACUCCAUGACUGUGUGUAUGAGUGUGUGUAAAAGAAAGAAGGUGAAAGAAGAUACUAGUGUCAGUGGUUGAUGAUUUAGAGUGAGGACGAACGGACGAUGAUAUUUAUAUCUGUUUUCCUGGUGAGAAUGUCAAAAGAGUUGGGCGAAAUUUGGAGUUUAAAUAAGAGUUGCAUGCAUAGUGUGUAUAUAAAGUAUACACCAAGCUGGCCAAACGGGCGGGCCGGGACGGUUCGGGCCGGUUCAUGCGGUUUCCGGACCGUCGCCGGUGAAACCGUAACCGGCACGCCAAGAUUGGCGGUCUGGGCCGGUCCUAGCUGGGCUGGAGAAAAUCAAAACCAUAACCGUAUAACACGGUUUAUACGGGUUAGACGGGUUAUACGGUUCGGGCCGGUUCAACGGUUCACGGUUCGAAUUCGACGGUUCCUUAAGUUCACUGAGGACCAGUUGAGCAAACUUUUAUAAAUUAAAUUAAAUUUUACCUUUUUUUAAGUUUCAAUUUCAUUUUAAAAUGUAAACUUUUAUGUUUUCAUAUAAAACAAAAAAUAAAAUAUAAAUAUCGAGUGUAUUAAAAUAGACACUUUUUAUUAAAAUAUAAACUUUUUAUUUUGUUUAAUAUAUAAACUUCUAUAUUUUUCUAAUAUAAUAUAAUGGAAAAGAGAGAAUCUUAAUAUUAAUUUAAUUAAAAAUUUGAAAAUAAUUUUAUGAUAGUUGACAUUUAGUUUAAAAUUAAAAAAUAAAAAAUAUAAUAUCAAAUAUAUUAAAAUAUAAACUUUUUUAUUUCGUUUUAAAAUAUAAAGACGAAUAAAACGGAAAGAAACCGUGAACCGCGAACCGCGGUUCCACGGUUCAAUCACGGUUCACCGUGCCAAGAUUGGACAGACUGUCAAACGAAAUAAUAAAAAAAUACACCCUGCUUCAUUCUUUCAUAGAAUUGGAAGUAGCGAAACACGGGCCGGUUCCGCGGUUCCGCGGUUCAAGCGGUUCCAGCGGUUCCGCGGUCCGGUUCCGCCCUGCUAAAUAUUUUUUUAUCACAAAAUUAAAAAUAUCUUAUUUAAUAGUAUAUAAUAUAAUAUAUAAUUAUUAUAUCUAAAUCAGUUUUAAUAUAACAAAAGUGAAAAAUUUCUUAUUUUAUAGUAUAUAAUAUAACAUAAAAUUAUUAUAUCAAAAUCAGUUUAAUAUAACUUAUAAAAUUAUUAAGUGGUGAUGAUUUAUAAGAUUUUAAAAUAUAAGUUAGUAGAGUGGUUAAUAAUUUAAUUAUAAAAUGACAUUUUUAAAUAAAAUUUAAUUUAUGUAAAUAUAAACUUAAUAUUUAAAAUUUAAAUCAAGCUAAUUUAUUUAAAUAUAAAUUUGAUACAGAUUACGGUAUAGAAUUCCACGGUUAAACCGCGGUUUUGCGGUUCGCGGUUCAAACCGCGGUUAAACGGUUCCAGCCUGUGCGGUUCAAGCGGGUUAAAGCGGUUUCGGGCCGGUUACGGUUCGGUUUCUCGAUUCUACACCCGUGUUCGGCCCGUACUCAGUUUCGGUUCAUGCGGUUUUCGAACCGGCCCGUGUUUAUACGGUUUCGGGCGGUUAAAAACACGGUUCGGGGCGUGCCGGUUCGAACGGUUCGGCCCGUUUGGCCGGCUUUCACCAUGCAUGUUGUGUAUCUGAAUUUUUAAUUAAACACAUUGUUUGUACUUUAAAUAUUUAAGUGUGAGCAAUACGUGCGUUAGUUUUUAGUUAACAGACUUCUGUUAACUGCUUACAUUGUCUCCCUGUUGUACAGUGAGCCUGUCCGGGCCAUAUUAAAAAAAAUGAUUACUAAUCCAAAAUAAAGUAAAAAAAAUGGAUCAAAAUGACUAAAAAGUUACUCCCUCUGUUUGGAUAUAUUAGUCUCUUGACUUUUUUGCACACACUUUUAAGAGCAUUGACCGCACAUGUAAAAUUAUUAUUUUUAAAAUUUUCUUUUUAUGAAUAAAAGUAUUAGUGAUAUAUUUUAAUUCACAAAAAGAAAUUUUUAAAAAUAAUAAUUUUACAUGUGCGGUCAAUGCUCUUAAAAGUGUGUGCAAAAAAGUCAAACGACUAUUAUAUCCAAACAGAGGGUGUAUAUUGUAAGUGCUCCUACUUGUCUAUGAAACAAAAGCAGAACGGAAACAAACAGCCCCACAGUAUACUGCUUUUCCUUUCUUUGACCCACUUGAUAGCAUCUUUAAUAGGCUCUUAAAUAGACUCCUAACUCAAGAUAUAAAGAAGAUGUUCAAAAAUUGAGCUCCAAGAGCCUCCUAGAGGCUUUAAAAAUCUUAAGAGCCUCUUCUCUCUCCUUUAAUUUAAGAGUUACUAGUUGGCUCUUAACUUUAUAAAAUAAUCAUUUCCUUCCAUUCUUACAUUAGACUCCCACUACAUAACAAAUGUUUGAAUUCAAAAUAUAAAUAAAAUAUAAAUUAAGAGCAUAUAUAAAGAACAUUGUUGGAGUUGACACUUUUAAUUUUAUAUUAACUUACUAGGAGUAUUUUAUAUUAUAUAAAGGAGCCAAAACUUGGAGAUGCUCGAGCGAAGUUAUUCUGAGGUUAAAAAUUUUUACUCCCUCCGUCCCCUUUUACAUGUUCCCAUUUGACUUUUGACCAGUCAAAUUAACCAAAUUUUGACUAAACAUUACAAAUUAUCUUUUCAUUAUUUUUGAAAACUGAAAGUUGCAUAUUAAAAUACACUAAAUAUACUUUCUAAUGAUAUAAUUUUUAUUAUUUUUUGAAUUAUAUGAUAUAUAUAAAAUUUCAGUCAAAAUAUAAUCAAUUUGACUGGUCAAAAGUCAAACGGGGACAUGUAAAAAGGGACUGAGGGAGUAUAACCAGCCCAUGUGUUCAUUGACAAUGCCAAUUGCCAAGUGGAGUGAAGUUGUGUCUGGGACGGGGAGUGCACUGAAUGAAAGAUGAAAAAGAGAAAGUAAAGAAAGUUAAUGAAGGUUAGGAAAAACAAACGGUAGCCCACACAUUACAAAUAUUUGUAUAUUUAAAGUACAUAAUUUGUUCUAUCAGGAGCUGAGGUACACAAAAUGUAUAACAUGACUAUUUUAGAUAUUUAGCUUUUUAAAUAAUUAGGGAGUAUAUUGAAAUAGGAGUUUGAUUAAUUAUAUAAUUAGAUUCUAAAAAAAUUGUAUCUGAUUUGAUUUUAGGUGGAUUCAAAUAAAAUAUGUAGUAUGUGGUAUGAUUGAUAUAAAAUGUUUGGAAUUUAAAUCUAGUAAUUUCAAAAUCUCAUUAAUUUUAAUAGGAUUUUGUCAAAUUUAAACUAUAUUGAACAAUCCCAUAAAAUUUAUUUUCUUUGUCUCCUUUAAUUGCAUAUAAUCUUUUUCCAAUAUUUUAUACAUAUUUUAAGGUGAUAUAAUUCCACUUUCAUAAUUUAUUUUUAACAUUUUUUUAAAAUUUAAAUAUUGAAUUUUGUUUUUAAAAAAAUAAAAAAAAAAUUAUAGACUGUAAUUUAACGGAGCAUUAAAAUGCACGCCGAGACCAUUCCCAAAGUAUACAACCUUAACCUUUUGGAACGGGGAGAGCAUUAUUAUGAAGUUAAAAAAAAAAAUAUCAAAUAAUACAUCACUAUUCGAUUAUCUUCGUACUUUACUAAAUAUUAAAUUAAAUAAUCUCAAUGAAUAUCAUCAAAAUUUUUAAAUAUUUUAAUAUAUUAAAAAUAUUAUUAAAUUUUACAAUAUAAUUUGAUAUCUAUAUAAAUAUUUUGAAAUACUGAUUUUUUUUAAAACCUGCAUUAAAUAUAACUGAAUUUCAUAAAAAAAAAAAAAAUUGAUGCUCUGAUUGAAUACGCCCCUAACGGCUAACAAACCGAUGAGGCGAUGAGUCGAUGACAUCUGGCGGAAAAUUUAUACAGAAACAGGUGAAGUGUCUCGAUGGGGGGGACCGAACUAAACACGUGGGUGUAUAUUAUUUUGAAUUUUGUGCUUUGAGGUUAAUGUUACUUAGGGUUAAAAAUGGGGCGGGUUGGGGGCGGGGACUUCAUUUCCCAGCCCCGCCCCACAUAAUUUUUUCCUGCCUCAUCCCCGCCCCAUUCCCCGCGGGGAUUUAUUUUUAAUCCCCAUCCCCGCCCCACCGGGGACUUAAUAUAAUUUCGCCCCGCCCCGCCCCGCUUCUAUAAUAUUACACCUUUAAAUAAUUAUUUUAAAAUUAAUUAAUUUUUUCUUCAGAAUUUAAUAAAAAUAUAGGAGACAUGUAUAUUAAAAGCAAAAAACUAAUUAUAAUAGAAAUCAAAGAGACAUGUUAUACAUUGUAAAAUUAUAGUUUUGUGUAUUAAAAAUAAUAAUAUUAAAUAUAAUAAAUAUAUUAUAUUAAAUAUAAUAAAAAUAUUAUAUUAAAUAUAAUUAUUUAUUUAUAUUAAAUAUAUGUGGGGCAGGGCGGGGAAUCCCCGCGGGGAUUCAACAAAUACCAUACUUGCCCCAUAUUUUGGCGGGGCAGAAAAUCAUUCCCCGUCACUGCCCCAUUCCCCAUAUUAGCGGGGCGGAUCUGCCCCAUUCGGGGCGGGUUAGGGCGGGUUCCCCAUUUUCCCCACCCCAUUUUUAACCCUAAUGUUACUCCCUCCUUCCCAUUUUAAUAGUCCACUUUGCAAAGAAAAAAUUUUCCAUAUUAUUUGUCCUACUUCUUUGUCCAAUACAAUUUUAUACAAGUUUCAAUGUUAACAUUUAUUAGCAUGUACAAUUUUCAUGAUUUACAAUGCAAACUAUGUUGACUUUUAACAAAAUGAAUGAAAAUUUAGUACUCCCUCCGUCCCUAUUUAUCUGUCCACUUUGGAAGUAAAAAUUUGUCCCUAUUUAUCUGUCCAUUUAUACUUUCAAAACUAAUUUAAUGAUAGUUUUUCAAAUAUAUCUCCAUAAUUUCAAUUUUCAAGGCUUGACUUAUUUAAAACUUGAUUGAAUUCAUGUUUUCAAGACACUAGGGAAUUAUGCCCGCGCUUCGCGAGCUCCCACUAAAAUUGUUUAAAAUAAAUAAAAUCAAGCAUUUCAAAUAUGUUUUAAAAAUAUGUGAAUUAAUAAUAUUAAUACCAGCAACUGCGAAAGGAUGACCAUGAAUACUUCCCUUGUUACGAAGAAUUCACAUAUAUUUGUAGUGAUCCGAAAAAAUAAAUAUAUUUAUCUAUUCGAACUAUUGAUCCAAAAAUCCGAAAAAAUAAAUAUAUUUAUCUAUUCGAACUAUUGAUCCAAAAUUUUUUUAAAAAAAUAAAUAGAUGGCUGUAAGACCAGUAAAUAAAGCUGUGAGAUAUAUUUUUUACGAUCAUCGUUAUAAAAAAAAUGUUUACUUAUAAGGAACAAACUAUUAGAAUUAUGUUUUUUCUCAAUAUUACAAUUUAAUCUAAUACGCUGACAAAUUAUAUUUUUUGGAUUUGGUACACAUUGACUACAUGUAUAGCUCACUAAAACAUAUUAAUUUGGAAGUCAACUCUUCUUUACACACGUCAGUGGUAUUGAACUCAAAUUUUAAAAUGUAAGGAUGUAUCUGAUAAAUUAGAGGAUCUCGGAUGCCUGAUUAACACUUUCAUUCUAAAUUCUUGACAAUCUGUACACUUUAUGGAAACUCCGGAUUUUGAUCCAUUGUUGUCAUGAAUAAGAAUGACAUUAGAAUCAUGAAAACAUGUGAAUAACACAUGCAUAAAAAUCAAAUUACAAAUAGCCAGUUACAAAAUCAGAAGUAAUGAAAUUAUUCAUUUCACUUCGAACAAAUCAUAUUUCAGGAUAAUAACAGCUUCUUUGUAGUACAACUAUAUAAAUUCUGAAGAGAAACCGUCAAAGGAUGCACCACAUCUCCUCUCCUUUGUUUUCGUACCCUGACCCGAUCCUGAUCCUGCUACCAUCACCUAAUACUGGACAUAUCACUUAUACUGAUAAAGUGGAAGGGUUAUUUUCUUCACAUCAUUUGAUCCAUACAACAGGGCAUUUAUUUUCAUGAUACCUGGGUGUAGAUAUAAAAUGUUAACACCUUUUGCAGAAUAUAGUCACAACGAUAAUUUUUGCAAAACAACAAACAAUAAUUUGAGAUUUAGUUUUAAUUUUCACUACAUGGCAAUAUAUAAGACUGCAAAAUUAAAGUUGUAUUAGUAAUACAUUAAGACUGCAGCCUGCGAAAAUUUAGAUGCAAAUUCAAGCACAAUUAAUACAGACACAUACCUCUCCCACGUGCUGAGCAUCACCAAGCAUGCAAACCUUCAUAUUAGGUCUGGGGAUGUGUGGCAAUUUAACAGAACCACUUUUAAAACUUUAAUACAAACUUAAUUUUUAUAUUUGUUUUCUGAUUAUACAAAUGAGCGCCAAUGUCCACUAUAUAUUCAGCUCUAUUAUGUUUCAUGUUCUGGUUUAUCUAUUUCUUCUGUAAGAGUGAGGCGAAGACAUAGUAUUUGGUUAUAUACCUGCUGUUAUUGCUACCAUUUCAGUUGAACAUGCAUAGUGCCUUUAAUCCUUGUCAACAGUUUUCCUAAGAUUAUUACUUCAAUUACUUCCUACCAAUUAGUUAUUAAUUACUGGGAAACGCAGAAAUUUUCGACAUAACAAAUGAAAACCCAUGUUGGGGGAACAUACUGAGUUGAACCACAAACCAUGAACAUGAAAUUUUACAAAGCGUCUAAACGAUACAUAAACUAUUAUUUUCAUCAGAACGCCCAAUUACUGAUGUACAUAACUUUGAGUCCAUACAAAUUAAUACAAUAUAGUUUAGAUAAAGAAGGAACAAAUUUUUUGUAUCAUAAUGUUUGAUCAGUAAGGGGUACCUGCAAAAUUUUCUUAAAGGAAAUCAAGGGGAGACCCAAAUAUUUUUAAAAUAACUGAACCAACUCCUGAUGCAAUGCCGCUGAUGAGACUUUCUAAUACCACCGAAAUCCCUCCCUCCCCCCCUCCCUCGCUCUCUCUCUCUCCCUCUCUCUCCCUCCCUGUCUCUCUCUCUCUUUCUCUACCUCUCCCUCUCUUCCCCCCCUCUCUCUGGCGUUGUUGUUUUUUAGUAAUUAUAUUUGAGAAUCAAUGCAAACGCCAUCCAUGUGUACGCGGUAAAAUUGAGUAAAACCGUGUGAGAUCAUAUGCGGACAACCUCCUGUGUGUGAAUGACAUGUUAGAAGACUUAGAAGAUGAAUUUAUAGAGAAAGAGAGGAGGGUGUGAUAAUCGAAUGAAAGAGACAGAGGGUUUGAAGCCUUUUUCUAACCAUUUCGUAACUGCCAAGAUUUAUGAUGUCAAAAAGCUGACACAGUAAAGCAUGGAAAGAGAGGGAUACGCAUGAAUCCUAUACUUACUGAUAAAAAAAAUAGGAUUCAUUAUGCAACACUGUGACUUUUGUUUAACCAAGUGUAUAUAGUAUAUAUAGACAUUAGUUUCUCGACACUAAUAUAUAAUAGGAGUACUUACUAUUAAAAUUCCUUUUAUAUUCAUCCACCAUAGAAAAAAGAUUAGUUAAACAUCACUGUGAGUGUGGUAUGUGAGCCAGGUUAAGGGGAGAGGGGAGAAAACUUACAUCCUAAGGCUUCAUAGGAUCUACUGCAUACUUCGUGUUAGGAUCUGCUUUUGAGGGAGAUUCAGGCUUUCCACCAGUCUUCUUUUAUCUCUGGCGAACCAACUGACAGGUAACCCUUCCAACCAUUGUUGUUUCAUCUCCUUCUUGGAAGCCUAAGUACAAAAAAUAAGUUAUAACAAUAGAAAUAACAGAAAAAUUGAAUCAUGCAGUAACUUAUAUUGGUUAACUAAUAAUAUAUGAUCUAUUGUUUCCAAGGAUCUAAGGACCCUGGUUACAUGAAUUUACAUAAAGCAUUAAUGUAUUUAAUUUGCAAGCAUAAAUAUAAGAUUAAAUUGUCAUUCCAAUCUUAUAAUAUAACAAAUAUAAAGAUGAUAAGAUAAUGAUAAGAAUAAGAUACCUUGUCCAGAUAACUUGAUUUCUUUAUCGUCAUGCAUUGAACCUGUGCAGGAAUUGAUAUCUGAGAUAGGUAAAUACAUAUCAGCAAAUUAGAAGUCAUGGAAACGGACACUUUGGUAAACAUUUACCUGAUGGAUUUGAGAUGCUCUCCAAUAUUUGCAGCUCUUUAAAAGGAGCACCGCAGCAUCUGCAAUGACAAAUUUUUAUAGUAAUUUCCAUGCCUUUAUUUACCUAUGAAUUGAGAUGAUGAUGUAAAGGAAAAUAAUUAAAACAUUGAUUUUAAUUUUCCCUUUUAGACAAACCUGACAUUUCCAUGUGAAGAUGUUGUCAGUUUUAAGUGUAAAUUCAUUGGGCAUAUUUCAUGAAUGUAGCCUGACCAUUCACCAUGACAAUGGCGUGUUUUAAGUUUUAGUUUUUACAUAGUGUGAUAGUGCAAUGAGUGACACUAUAACUUCUAAGGUAGCAGUUCUCUUGUGGAAUAUCCGUAUGUCAAAAUAGUUCUUGAAUGUGAACUUUUUCCUUAUGAAGUCUGCCUGUGGGAGUCAGUCUGCGCAAUAUAAUAGAUAAGCCAUCAAAUUAUUUCUUAACAGGCUAGGAUGAAGCAGUAAAAGCAUUGCGCUCAGAACAAAAUUUAUUUCUGCACUUUCCUGACAUGGCCUUAGCAUUUAGCAUCCAAUUAUACACGUCUGCAUGCAUGUCAUUUGUUCAUUGUUGCAUCACUUCAUCGACUUCUUACAUCAGAAGGUAAUCUAUUUGCAGAUACUUAUAUCAAAUGUAUGAUAAGCAGUAGUCACACAAUGACAUGUACUGUUUAACAAACCCAAAAGUUUUGAGCCCAGAAGGGUUAGUUUAGAUAUUGCCUACUUAGUGUAUCCAAUCUUAAAACAAUUAUCAUAUUUUUUCUAAUUACCAAUUAAAGAUGAAUGAUUUUUUAUUAUUUUUAUUUUUAUUUAUGAUUCAUAUUCUUAUUCUUCUUCUUAUUAUUAUUAUUACUAUAUCCUAUAUCCUCAACAAUAAUAUAUAUAUAUAUAUAUAUAUAUAUAUAUAUGUAUGUAUAUGUAUGUAUUUAAUUAUUUCUUAGUGUUAUAAUUCUUUAUUAUUAUUAUAUUAAUAUUAAUAUAACAUUAAUCAUUAAUCAUUAAUAUAUUAAUAAAUCUUAAAAAUAUAUCAUAUAUUUAUAUCAUAGUUUAAAAUAUAUCUUAUUUGUGGUUCUGAUGCCGAGUACUAACAUUGACAGUCAAAAUAUAGAUCCACAUAGUUGAUCAAGUCGUACAUUUUCUUGCGUGCAUUUUAUAUUGAGUGAUACAUAAUGACAGUGCUUGUAUAUAUUCCAAACUUUGUAGAAGUAUUGAGAAAAUAUGCACCUUCAUCACACAACGGCUGAUCAAAAUUAGAAGGCUCAUCUGCUUCGUUAAAUGUCUGAAUCAAAAUUUUAACCCCGGAAGUAGAGCCAUGGUGAAAAUUGUCCGAGGUUAAACAUGAAUCUGAAGUCCUCAGUGCAGAUGUAACAAAUGAGGAUAGACGACCAAUCUUUGUAUUCUUAUCUUAAUAUAUGUUUGAUGUUGUCACAGGUGUACAUCUCUGUCCUCUAGCACUGAAGAGUUGAGUUCUUUCGUAUGUCGUUCCACUAUCGUGUGUGGCUUGUAAAAAGAAGACAGAGAGCAGAUUUGAGAAACUUAUUGAAUAAAUUUUUUAUUAGGGGGAAGAAGUACAAAAACAAAAUAAAUACAUUUGGAUAUCAUACAUGUAUUUGUGGGAGUAUAAGCUUGAUCAGGAGUUUCUACACGUGUAAUCUUCUUUUGAUUUAAAACAUUACUGAUGCUUGGUCCACGUCAUCGUCGCUUGUCACCUAUACAAACAGGGUAUCGUAACUGUAUGAUGUAUCCACAUACCCACAGAGGACUAAAAAUUCAGCAAACCUAUUUAAUGCUUCUCUAAAAUAUGGUUCUAUAACUUAUUUUUAAGAUUUUUUUUUUCUGAAUAAAAAUUUAAUAGUUAAAUUUCUAUUCAGAAAAAAGUAAUCUUAAAAUAAGUUAUAAAACUAUACUUUCCAGAAUCAUUAAACAAAACCUUUUCAAUAUAAAAAAUAUUCACUGAGAUAUAGAUAUAUGUACACAUGAAGGUAAAAUUCUCCGGCCAGCAUGACUCCAUUCAUGAACAAAUUUCUUGACAGCAUGCAUGUUAGUCAAAUGCUUCUUGUACUUAAUCAGGCUGGUCUUGGAGCAUAUACUUGUAGCUGUGUCGAGGUAAAUAUUUUAAGUAUACUAAAUAUAUUAACUCGAUAACAUUACUAAUAUAAGUAUUUAACAAUUACUGAGUUAAAUUUCAGAUUUCAGAGCUUCUAGUCUAGUUCUCUGGAUCAAACUCAAGUACUAUAUUAGUUCAUAGGACAUUAGGGAAUAUAUGCCGCGUACACUCACAUAUCUUCACUGAUGAUCCAUGCUUAUCAAAUACUCCUAGGGUCAUUUCUGUGCACGGAUCAAAAACCUCCCAUGUAACACCUGCAAUUUUCAUGCACCUGUAGCUUUCAUCGCACCUGCAAUGACUUAACUACUGCUCUACACACUUAACUAAAAAUCUAAAGUUGUUAAGUCAGGAAAAGUUACAUAUACUCCAGACUAAAAAGCAUAUACUUCCAUGAGGAAAAAGCAAGCAAAGGCAAACCUUUUGUACAAUUGAUAUCAGCUUGAAGGUCAAAUACAAUAUUGUGGUCAAUCAGAAUUCAGAAAUCAGCAAGCAACGGGAAACUAUUCAUCUUCUCUGGAUCUUUCUUACUCUCAAUCAGAAAUCUUAAAAGUAUAUCCUCAUAAUUUUCACACAACAUAUAUAUUAGGCAGCAAAACUCAUAAUUUGUUAUCCCAAUCAAAUCCAAAAACACUAUAUCAUAUUUUUAUCAGCUAUAUAUGAAUCCUUAACCCAAAUCGUUAGAUGAUUAAGAAAGUAUAAAAGCUAACUGCUAAUCUGUUCAAUGCAUCGGCAUGAAUUUAACCUCAUUUUGAUUUAGCAAAACAGCACAACUAAAUUUGAAUAUGUGAAAAUAGCUUAAAAUUUUGAAGAUGGGGCUGAAAAUGGCAAGCAUGUCUGAAAAUUAAUAUUUACAUGUGAAAUUACAGACCUGUUGGAAGACGACAUCCAUUAUGUGAUAAUUAAGAUCAUAUGAUGUUAGAUUUGCCAAGACGACACACCUGAUAUAUCAAGGCGAACACUUUCUUUAUUAGGAGGAACAUUAUGUUAAAAAGAACGCGUAAAAGAUAAAUAUUAACAUCACCACUAAGUUACUAACAUAAAUAUUUACAUCAUCACUAAGGUAUAAAUACAAACACUAUACACGCUAUAGCGUAAAUGUUAUGUUUCCUCUGCUUUAACAUUUUCUCCACUCCCGGACCUUUUCCUCUACGUUUUGGAGCUGAUAAUAAUAUAACUUUAGAGGAUUUCGGAAUACUACCUGAAAGUAAAACAUCCUAGUAAAAUUUACCAACUACCGGUGCUUUGUUAAUAUCAGGCGUUAAGGAACACAGACUGCAUAUAUUUACAAUUUCAGACAUUACAUUGUAGAAGUUAUUUACAUUCAAGUAUGAUGUGAUAACAAUUUGCUCGCAAACUUCAAAGAAUUACCUGGUGCCAAGCGUCUGGAAUGAUCAUUUGUAGUAUUUAAACCGUUUAUCACAUUGUUAACACCCGGUCCACGUCCUCUCCGCUUUGGAAUUGAAGAUCUACUGACAGAGGUGUUGGCUGCUGCGUGUUGGGAUAUGUUCGCGGCAAGUUCAUGUCCUGAUUAACAACAUACGGGAGAAGUUAUGAUCUACACAUAUAAUGAAAUUAUAUACUACUUUGUAAGGCUUCCACAGAAAGAUUACUUCGGAGAUGGCUCACUGGAUCAAUGCUUGGUCUUUGAUAAUCAAUGCCAACAUGAGGAAAAUGUCAAUUUGGUUGAACAUUCUCCUUGAUGUUAUUAAGGUGGAACUGGAAAUCAACAUUAACCUGCAUGUAUACUUUAUCAAAAGAAGGUCCACGACCAAAUGAACAGAGUGGAUGAAUUACACAUGCUUUGAGGCCAGCACCUACAAACACAAAAAAUGUAAAAAUGUCUCACAACAGGGUCGCUGAUAAUCCAAAGACUCUAAACCAAAAUGUAUAUGACUGCAUACUCUGUCCAAAGAAGGUCCAAGACCUCGACGGCAUAAACCUGAAUGCAUUAUAUCGGAUUAACAGUUAAAUUGCAUAACACUAAACAAACCAACCUAGCACACGCAUGGAACGUGAAAACACAUUCUCGAACAGAUUAUUCUACAACCUCUGGCAUCGCAGAAUUCCUUUCCAUCAACAUAAAUUCGAUUUUGAUUAUUUGAUCGUUAUGAGAUAUAUCAGUAUCAGGUGUGCCAAGAGGACUUCUUGAUGUAUUUAGAUUCGCAGCCUGCAUAUUCUUAACUAUAUUCUGCAAGAACUCAUUAAGUGCUGCGCCACCAUUUCGCUUCUUUGAUCCUAGCAUCAAGAAGACAUUCAACUUUAGGAAGUCAUUUAGACACAAAAAAGGUGAAAUAUAGACUGAAAUGGUCUUUGGAUAACCUUUUAACCUGCUGACUCAUCUUAUGCAACUAUACCAAGGCCUCACUUCAUUCUUGUAAUUAAGAAAGAUAACAUCUAGCAACAUCAUUAGUUUUAAUUCAAACACACACAGAUCAAGAACUAAUCAUAAUUCAUAAGUAUCAUAUCAGGCCUAAGAUAGACUUGAGUAAUCUAAACUAAAAAAAAUAUGUAUAUGAGGUAAUUCCCUGCUUUUCUGAUCAUAGAUACUGGAAAUCAUCUAUCUAUCAUGGCAUUAUAUUAAAUAAACAUAGUGGAUGAAUUACACAUGCUUUGAGGCCAGCACCUACAAACACAAAAAAUGUAAAAAUGUCUCAGGGCCGGUCAUAAUCCAAAGAAAACUAAAAGUUAACUCCUAUGAACAUAGCAUAAGUAUUUGAUUUAUCCGAUCCUAAGUUCAGGAAAUCACGGUAAUAGAAAGAUAUUAUAUCAAACACCCGGUGUGCAUGUGAUUUGUGAGUAACUAUAUACCUGUGGAUUCAUCCCCUGUCAUUGUGUGUUCGCUUGAUUCCUGAAACUGAUGUUGUUAACACCUGCUGUGGUUCCAAAUAAACAUAUUUCCCGAACCUAUUAUGACCCCUCCAGUCUAGAAAUAAAAUAUUGAUGAAAUUAUCUUGAUAAUUUAACAAUUGCAUUCGGGUGUCAUUUUCUAAGUUAAUAUAACAUCAAUCUGCAAGUGCUAUAUUUAACACCAUACACUGUCAACCUUAUCAUUUUAGACAACCAAAAAGCGCCAACAGCAAUCUGCACUGAUAUUUUUAUGUGCAAUAUAGACUAACUUAUACACUAACAACACACUACAAUAUGAUUAAGCACAAUAUGAUUAAGCACUACACCAAUAACUUGGGCCACGUCCUUCACGCUUAGCAGCUGAACGGAAUCAGCUUGUGCAUUAUUUAAACAACUGAGUAGGCUAAAAGAAUUUAGAAAAUGUUAUACCUUUUAUGAUGAAUAAUAGGCUCGUUUACAAUAGAUCUCCACAGAGUUUUCUACCCCAUUCUGGAAAAAAACUGAACAAAUAAAUAGAAGUGAAGAGAGAUUACAAUGGAAAAAACAUGGGACUUGGAAUGAAAAAGAGUAUAAAGGUGUAAGAAGAUCUUAAAAUAUCAAACAAAAUCAUAAAGAACAUAAAUCAAACACCUUAUAUGCAUGAAUCAAAACCUGUCUAAUCAAAUUUUCAUGAACCAUUUCGUAGCCUUCAACACAUCACAGAAUGGCAAGAUGGAUAAUAUGGGUGUGGAAGAACUUACCAUCAUUUAUCGAAGGAAGAGACGGCAUAUGAAGGCGGAGAACUUACGAUUCUUCCCUGGGAUAAAAUAAAACCACAUACAAAGAUCUCAGACUCAUACCAGAAAACUGGCUGCUCAUCACAUCCCAGAGACCAUCACAACCCGUUAUCAGGAUUUCAUCUUCUCUUGUCACUUGAAUCUCCUGCAAUUCUGGCUCUGCAUUUAAAGGGCAGGCACAUCCCUUGAGUCCCUUUAUAAAUAUAAAUAUAUUCUUAAAGCUUGCUAGCAUUCUCUUUUACAAAAUUAUCAUAACUGUUCCGCAGGCUUAUUUAGUGGCAAUUUUGUUAUUGUAUAUUCUGGUCUAAGCUUGUUCAUCUCUUCUUGAUAUUAUGUCUGGUUACAUAAGUAAAAUCCUAUCAACGCAAUAGAAGUCCCAUAAUAACUUUGGUCAGAUGAAUUAUACUUAUAAGUUAUAUCAAAUCAUCAUGCUUUAAAAUGCAAAUGCAAGUCAAUGCAUGGACUGCUGCACUAUAUAACUAAAGCUAUGAGUCCACAGGUCCAUGUUAAUUAGCUGUGAACGUGCAAUAUCACACAAAAGCACUGGUUGCAAGACUCGUGGAUGAGACUGUAUGGAUUAAAACAAAUAUUUUGAAGAGAAGACCUUACCACCAGAGUUAGUGCCAGUUUGAUUCUGAUUCCAUGAGAGUCUACUUUGAAUGGAAUUUGAAGAGAAUUGGUUAGUGUUAACGGUGCUUAGUGGUGUCCUUGUGCUGGAUUGCGUAUCUAAUACAGACAUGUGAGUAUAAGAGUCCAAGAACUGUGAAUACAAAAAAGGGUAAUUGACAACAGUCGUGCCUUCAAAGACAAUUUAACAUAUUAACUUAAAGUAAGCCACCUGGAUUCACUUGGUUUUAUGCAGAAGAAGAGUCAUUCUCUUUGUCCCUGGGUAGUGAUAUUAACAGCUUUGAAGCUGAGAGACGGAUUAAGAGCACACACUUGACCUGGUUGCAAUAAUGAGAUCGCAGCUAUGAAUUCUAUUACCAAUUGAUUAAAGUGAAAGCGCAAAUGACAUAAAAGAACCUACUGCAAGGCACAUGGUACAUACUAUACGGUCUGAAAGACAGAGUUUGCAGAGAAGACCUCACCAUCGGAGUUAGUGAACAUUUGCUUCUGAAUCCAUGAGCAACUACUUUGAUCGUUUCUUGAAAAAGCAUCAUUCUCGCGUACCAUCUUCUCCAUUGUGACCCAUACGUGAACCAUAAUCCCCGCUGCUGCAACUUCACCAAUCUGGUAAGUAAAAAAUCGUCAUGUGCUGAUCCUCCUCCACAACGCUUUCGUCCUGAAACGGAGACUGCUAUAUGAAUUGAUCACUGAUUUGGAGAAUGAAUUGCUAUAUCUAUUUCCUUCAACAAAAUUGUACCUGCGACUGGUGUAUUAAUAUUGUGACAGAUUUCAUCGCCAUACAUGACUACAUUCACUGCAUAUAUCGCAUAGGAAUUCAAAGAUGAUCCAUACACUUGAAUAACAGACUGAAGUAUCUUAAACAAAUUCCAAAUAUUUAUCUUGUUAAUCGCACUUUAUCUGCAAAAUAAUUCAAACUAAUUAGAUAAAUGAGCAAGUGAAAGUUCCUUAACUACCACUCAUUAAAAAACCCAAGACAGCCCAAAAUGAAAAGAAUUAUAUACGGAGUGUGUAGCACCUAUUGAAUUAAACUAUAACAUACUCCCAUAUACCUUACGAAAACUACAAAACUCAAGUUAGCCUAAAUCAAUAAAAAUAAAUAUAUCAUAUCUAUCUACCAAACAAAAAUAUAUCAUAAAUCUAUCUACCAAACAAAAAUUUGUAUAUCUUCGACUCAACUUCGAUUACCAAUACGAUGAUAUGAAAGUAUGAAAAGUGAAAGAAUGAAAACCAUGACUUUUCUGGAACCGGUUUACAAUUAUGAUCAUAAUGUAAUACGAUCAAAAGCACUGAAACUAACCCGGAAUUCGAAGAUGUGUCUGGAGUUCUUGCAGAAUCUACGAACAUCAAUUUGAAUGUUUAUAGAGCCGGAUGACCAUGAUUAAGACGAUUGAUCUCAGAUUUCUGUAACAUAAUUGUGAAAUUUAGGAACCUAAUUUUUCAUGCAGAACCUGCAUCAAACACAUUAUAAUCGACCCAUUAGACAAAAGCUUAGAUUUGUAACCUAAAAAUGCAAUAAAAAAGAGUACUAAUUGAUGAACUCAUAAUAAAACCAUGUCAGAAUCUACACAGAAGGCACAUAUAGGACCAUACACUUGGAUAAGAUAUAUCAUCUUUUUUGGCAGUCUAGCCUAAACACAAAUCAGAAAGCAUGUGUGUAGUUACAGUUUAACCUACUUGUCGACUGCGGAGCAUUGGAUUGCGGGGAUGGUGUCUUGUCCAUUGAUUACUACGAAGAAACGCAUAUUGCAAUCCUUGAUCCGUGUAGCACGAAUUGUGCGGCACGACGGUGACUGAUUUUUGAUAAAUUGCUGAUGAAUCGGAAUUUGAAUUUGAAAUUAAGAAGAGGUGGAACAAACUGCUGCGUGAAAGUAGCCUCCCAGAGUAUGCUGAUUAAUUAUCGAAAAGAAAAUACUGAAAAAGGUGAACGGGUUAACGGGUUAAUGGGUAACGGGGCAGGCUAAUUAGUGGGUAUUUUGUGGAGUUUUUUUGGAGUCUUCACUAGCAACUAUUAAGAUUAUAUAGAAUAUAGAUAAAGUAGGGGUAUUCCACCAUUUUCAAGAUAUUAAUUAGAGGUAUUUAAUGAAAAAGUUCAUGCAAUCAAUUAUUCCUUAGAAUGUGUUUAUUUUUUCAAAAUGGACAGAUAAAAAGGGACGGAGGGAGAAGUGUUUUUGUAUAAUUAAUGCAUAACAAUGAGAACAACAUAUCAUAUUUAAUUUUUCUUAAUAUGUGUGAUUUGAGCAAAGUGGACAAUUAAAAUGGGAAGGAGGGAGUAUAAAAUUGUUUUGAAUAAGCAAGCUGAUUGAUUUGAUAUAUCGGACAAUUAAUUCUAUCUUUGAGUUGUCCAGCCAUGUUUUAAAAUUAUAUAAUUUUGAUUGAUUAUAAUAAAAUUAUAAGAUAUAGUGAUAGGAUAUUGAAUUUUUAAAAAAGAUUUAAAUCAUUUUUUAUAUAUAGUCCGAAAUUUAUAUCUCCUCAAAAACUUAAAAAAGAAAACCUCUCAACCUCUUUUUUUUAAGCCGCCAUCAGGGGCUUUCAUCGGUUUUCGCGGGAGCUAGAAUAUUUUUUUUUUGCUUUGUUCUAGUUUUUAAUAAUACUACUCCCCAAUGUAAAGAUUUCUAUCUUUGGAGAUUGUAUUUUUUGUUGUUAAAAUUUUUUUUGGGUGUGUUUUGGUGUGAUUCAACGUACACGAGUUAAAUCUACCGGAUUUUUAAGAUUUUGAUUUAAUGAUAAAGAUUUAUAUAAAAUUACAAUUACGAUCGAUAGCUCAAACAGGUUUUGGUGAACGCUGUACAUAUACAUGUAUCAAUUUCAUCAAAUCAAACGAUUGUGUAUUCGUACAGACUAGAUUAAUCAGUGAUAUGAUCGAUUUUACGUUUGCUCGACUCGAUUGUUCUUGCAGAUGCCGUAUAGCUUUUCUUUAUUAAAUAGAUCCCUUUUUUCCAAAAAAAAAUCAUAUUUUUUUAGAAUUUUUUCAGAAAUAUGAAGUCAGCAAAAAGAUUUUUCAAAACCAGUAUGUCUCUGAUAUCACUGAGAGUCUGAGACAUUCUUCUUGAGAAUGUUAGAGAUCAUUGGAGUCAGUCUCCUAAGAGGAACAUUAGGCCAGAGGUUUGUUUAUGGCUACCACUGUAAUGGAAAAUGCGACUCUCAUCUCCUAGCCAUCUUUCUUGUUCAAACAAACAGUGCCUCACUUAUUGUAUCGCCUACUAUUCAUUCCCAAAAGUUGUCUGGUUAGCUAACCCAGACCAUACUGUUAAAAUCACAAAUAUUUAACACGAGGUUUCGCAUAUAAGAUUUAUUUUCCAUUAUUUAUACUGAAUAGUCGCUCAAGGCUACAGACAAUGAAGUAUAAAGACAGUUUCACAGCAAAGUACAAGCUACUCAAUUCCAGGCUUAUAUUCCUACAUGUAAUCAAACAUCAAUUACCCGCACAUGUCAGGUUCUCAUAGUGCUUUUAGAAUCAAGUUUGCCCCAUGUUGAGGUUGUAUAGUUAAUACGGUGGAAGGAGCGUGUAUAUAGGAUGGGGAAAGCACAAAAGAAAAGCGUUGUAAGAUCAUUGAUAGUGCCAUUUUAGCUUCCAGCAUUGCAAAAUUUUGUCCAAUGCAAAUCCGCGGACCUAAGCCAAAUGGAAAAUAUACUCCUUUUCCCUUUGUUGCUUUUGACACGCCUUCAAAAAAUCUCUCUGGAUUGAAUUCCUUAGCAUCAUCACCCCAGAUUUCUCUGUCAUGAUGCAUUAGGAUGAUAGGUAGCUGCACUGUAACUCCAGCCGGUAGAAAUAUCUCUCCUAAUUUGACAUCUUGAUAUACAGCGCGAAUUAGGAAAACUGCGGGUGGGUAUAAUCUUAGGCUCUCAAGCAAAAUCAUAUUAACCUGCAGACCAAAGACAUUUAAAGCACUAGUUCAACAUGUGCCUUUGUCAAGAAACAAAUAUUCUAAACUUCCAUUAACAUGCAACUUAAACUAUAGUAAUAAAAAAAUAAUUAUCGACCCUUUGCUGCUAUCACAUUAUACAUCACAAUAUUUGAUAAAAAAUUCACACUUACAAGUUGAUAACUUACUUAAAAACGUUACCAAGUGCUUAUAAUAAAACUUACAAGUUUGAGGCGAUUCAACCCAUCAAGAUCUGGUUUAUCAUUUCCAAAGACCUGAAAAACUUCUUCUCUGGCGCGCUCUUGCCAAUCUGAAUGUUGACUCAAUAGAACCAUAGCCCACGUAAGUAGAUUCGAAGUUGUCUCUUGUCCAGCAAAAUAGAAUAACUUACACUCUUCGAUAACCUCAUCCACAGACAUUCCAUAUUUCAUAUCUUUGUUUUCUUUAAUUUCUUCAGAAUUUGAUUUCAAUAAUAAACCCAACAAAUCGUCAUGAAUAUACUCUUCUACUUUCAUUGCCAGCAACCGCUUGUUAAUCAUAGACCUCAGGGCAGAUCUCACCUCACUCUCAAUCUGCCUCAUCCUUUUCAUUCUUUUGGUUGGCAAAAAUCUACAUUUAAAAGAUUCUAAUAAACAUCAAUCCUAGUAGAUGAAACACCAGAAGAUUUUAGACAACUUGCAAAAACAGAGAGGUGGAAUAAAAACCUCAUUCCUGGGAGGUACAAUGUUUGUGUAGCUUGCAUCAACAGCUCUCCUUGUUCUUUCUGUAGUUGAAAUAUUUGUCUCCCUUCUGCAUAGCUACUUCCAAAGGCUGUACGUGAAAUGACAUCAGCUGUUAGAGUUCCCAAAUCCGGCCAUACAUCCAACUCGCAUUGCCCCUCAGCAGAAACCAUCUUCUCCCAUUUGCUCAUUAUUUCACUACAACUUAAAUACAUGGCUGGCAGCAUAUCCUGUUUAUAUACAUCAUAAAAAAGGAAGACAAUAGUUGUUAAUACAAUAGAACAAUAACUGACAAUAUAUCUUCCUGCUUGGCACUUGCUAUCAUUCAGAUAGUACUGAUGAAAAUGACACUAUUAGGUUCUAUAUCACGGAGCAACGGAUCGAAAUUUUUUUACUUGAAUUAAAGAAAGUCACCUGGAGCAACAACCUACAUAUAUCAUCAAUAUUUUUCUACUUAAAAUAAAAAAUCUACUAAAUGUUUAAAAACAGCAAUAUGUGCUAAAUACUUUUAUCUAUCAUCAAUCUACAACUUCGAACAAUGUCCCAUGUUCCAUAUAUUAUUUAGCAUAAUAUGUUCAGUUUUAUAUUUGAAUUUUGUAGAUCGCCAAGAUAGCAACAGGGAUGACCUUUAACUUCUCAAGAUGGAAAGCAGGAUUCAUAAUUUUCCGGUGUUUGGCCCAUGUCUCACCCUCAGCACUUACAAGUCCACUUGCGAGCAACUUAAAUAAAGGAUUACCUCCCCUGAGUUUCUGGAAGUUAGAGGUCUUAUUUAAGGCCUCUUUUAUAAGAUUAGGGUCCGUGAUGUAGACUGCUGGUCGUGGCCCUAGCCACACAAAUGACUUCUUGCCUGCAAGAAAGUAUAACAUAAUUAAAGCCAUUAGAAAUUUUCAGUAAAAGGAGGAAGGAAUUGAGGACUAGUUUUCUUUUGCCAAGUUAACUGACUAGCGUUUGUAGUAAACAACUUUGAAAGGGUAGAGUUCAUAUUUUUUGAACAAUUAAGAUGAAAAAAUCACACACGCUUUGCUGGGAGUCUGGGACUACAGACUAGUCUCGCCGAAUGUGAGACAGCUGAGUAAAAAAACAGUACAUUGUCAAACUACAUACAAUAAGUACAGUCCAACUUCCAAUUGAAGCAAGGGUUCCUACUGAAAACUUAAGCAUAGAAACCUUCUAGAUUAACAAUAAGAAAUCUUUUGCUCACUGAUGAAAUAUUCUUGAUGAAUGACGAGCGCAUAUAAGAAAGAAUAUGUGUUUAACAACUUUAAAGAGUAAGAAUAAAAAUCCCUGGAGAAAAUCACCUUCGCGUAAUGCUCUCAAGACCUAGUAGUACAGUAGAUGGGCUUAUAUUCUAACACUCGCCAUAGGUCACUUAACUAGCAAAUUUGCCAUUUACUAAUCACAUGAUGCCUUGCUUUGAAUCAAGUUGGAAAGAUCCCUCAGAUGCGAUCGUGUCAACUAAAAGAUUUCAUUUUCGUAUAUAAGUUUGUCCAUUUAAGCUUGACAAUGACAAGGAUAAAUUACCCUUCCUCUUAAACCUAAAGGUGUUAUGAAAGGGCUUACCAAUAUUAUAUUAUAUAUUCAACAGAUAUGGACACUUGAAGAAUAAAGCUUCCAUGGAUAGUUGGCAGAACCAAAAUUCUUUCAUAAAUGAAAGUUCGGAGUUUCUUUGACAAGAGAUAAAAAUAAGCCGGUCAUGUGUUAACUUAGGUGUGUAAUGUUUCUAUAAUAUUCUGCGCUAAUGAGUGAUUGAGUUGUGCUAUUAGAAAACCGAUGUAUCACAAUGUGUUGUUUCACAUGUAGAUGCUUAAGAACUGAUUAUUAUGCGCAAAUAUGUUUACUUCUGUGGAAUACAGAUGACUUCUCCUUCACUAUGAACAACCAAGGCAGAUGAAUUGAUAUAAUUUGUCACUACUCACUAGGCUAAUCGUCAACUCACAAUUUUAAUGCUACAAUUUGUAAAAAUAUAAUAUACAAUCCAGUUAAAUCCUCCUCCCGACGUCAUAAGAUUUUAGAGAAACUAAUGCUACACCUCCACGUCUGCAAGAGGAGGCAGAAUCUUUUUAGCAUAACAAGUAUGUAUAAACCAUGGGAAAAGUUGGAGACCAUUAUUUUAUUGGAGACAUGCAAAGACCAUCAUAUUUUGUAUAAUAAUAUUUUUGCAAUGUUCAUGUACAAAAGUGGUCUUCAUUCCAAAAAACAGUUUAUGAGCUAAAAACUGCGGUUCAAAAAUGUUGUUUUUAGAUUUACAAAAUAGUUUUUCACAUAAUAAUUUUUUAAUCUAUUUAUUUAACAAAAUUAUUCCUCUGCUAUUGAAAUUAUUUAAAAAUACCCUUUCCGGAAAGUCUAAUUAAAGAAAAUAAAUACUAUACACUUAAUCGAAAGCUAAGAAUUCAAAAUUCAAAAUAGAUGAAAAACUGCUUGAUAUAUAUAAAAACAAUUUUUCAAAACAACAUGUUUUGAUUUUAUGAAAAGCAAGUCCAUGUGGUUUUCCAGCUUUUGCCGGAUUACACUAUCAAAACUCAAUAAAAACAUUUUUAUUAUAUUUUAAGUCAAAGAAAAAAUUAUAAGCUUACAACAUUUUUUUAACAAGGUGUUUUUCUAACACAAGACAAGGUGUUUUUAAUUGGACUUAGAAACAGAACCCGGAUAAAUGAAUGACGAAACGAAAACGCAUACCGUGUUUACUAAUAGCAGUAAAUACAGUUGGAGUAGCGCGAGGUAUAAUAUCGUCAGACAAACUGAUGGGCUUGGACCUGGCCUCUUUCCUAGCGGCAGCGAGUUCUUUAACGUCGCCAUACAAAAGCCUGUAAGGGUUUCCUUUAAAGCCCUGAUUUCUCAGAAUCUUUUCCAGCUUCUUGGGCCUGAUCCAAAUCCAGUUGAGUAGUCUCCAUGCUAACACCACAACGUAUGCCAAAACCAAGCUUCCUAUUACCUUGAAGUAUAUAUCUAACUCCAUCACUGUGUGUAUAGGUAUGUGUAAAAGAAAGAAGGUGAGAGGAUACCAGCGUGAUGUUUGAUGAUUUAGAGUGAGGAGUGAGGACUAAUGGACGAUGAUAUUUAUAUCUGUUUUUGGGGCUGAGAAUGACACUGAUAUUAUAUUUGUUUAGAAAAUUCAACAGAAUUAAUCAAAAAUUGAAUAUCAUCGUAUAUUAAAUAAUCUUAAUUGAAAAUCAUCAAAAUUUUGAGUAUAAAUUAAAAUCCUGAAAAUAUAAUCAAAUUUUAUAGUAUAAUUUAAAUUUUAAUUAAAUAUUUUAAGAUUCUGAUACCGUUUCUAAAAUCCGAAUCGGAUAUAACCAUAUUUGUUGAAGAAAAGUUUGUUUGAUAUUCCGAUUGAAUAUGCCGCUAAAAGCAAACCUGAUCGUGGUAAACUCUUAGAUAAAAAAUAGUUAACAUAUCAAAAAUAAAAAAUAAAAAUAACCUAAUGAAAAUAAGGUACUCCAACCAUAUUUUUUUGUCAAUAAUUUUAGUCAAACUCGUGAGGAUGAUUAUAAUUAUCGAAUCACUACAAAUUUAUAACAAAUGUCACAUUGCCAAUCAUCGUAACAAUAUAUUAUAUUAUAAUAACUUCAAAGAAGAAUAUGUUAUAUUUAAAAUAUAAUGAAUGAAUACAUGAAACAAAAUUUUACAAAUUCAACAAAAUUUACAUGAUAUAUUGAGAUCCAGUUCAACCAAUCAUUAUAACUAACUCAAAAUCAGAGAUGCCGAAAUAAAAUACUAUCUCUGUUCCAACCAUUUUUUAUGAUUUCUUUUUUGUUUCCAUCCAAUUAUUUAAAUUUCAAAAUUACCAAAUAUCAUCAACUGGUCUCACUACUUCUCCACAUUUUUCCUCUUUUCACACGACUUCUACUUCACUAUCUUUCUUUUAUACUGUAAAAUUUAAUUAGUCUUAUCAUUUCAUGCGUUUUUUUUUCUUUUUCUGCUGCUUUAUAUAUAUUUUUUAAACUUCAUGUCAAAAUCAUACAUAAAUAACGGGACGAUAAGUCGAUAACAAACGACAAGCGAGUGAAGUGUUUCCAUGGGUGGGACCGAAUUAAAUAUGUGGGUGUAUACGAUUUGGAAUUUUGUGCUUUGAGGUUAAUGUUGUACUUAAAACGGUUUUUCUGGUGUGCCCAAGGGCACACAGUAAGCACUAAAUUUUAUGAGUUUGGUGCAUUCUUAUUGGUCAUGUAGUCAUAAAUAUGGAUGGCCCCCCUGCAUUUACAAUUUUACACCAAACUCCACCAAUCAAAAUCCAAUAAACCCAUCAAAUUUAGUGCUUAAUGUGGCACUAGAAAGACCCUACUUAAAAUUCUUUUGAAUAAGCAAGCUGUCUGAUUUGAUAUAUUAUGAAAAUUCUACCUUUUGAGUUGUCAGAGUCAUGUUUUGAAAUUAUAUAAUUUCAUUGAUCAUUAUUAAAAUUAUAAAAUUAAUGUUGGGAUAAUGAUUUUUUUCUAGAAUAGUUAAAUUCACAAUUUUUUAUGGAUGUUCUUUUCAAAAUUUUCAUAUUUUGAAAUUCAUAAGGUAUAAUAGAAUUCAUAAGGUAUAAUAGAACUAGGAUGUGUACACUAGUCAGAAUUGGUCCAGUUGAGAGCAUUUUCAUAACCCAAAGGCUCGUUUGGUUUUGAGAUGUGGUUAUAGGUUUGGAUUUUGUCCAUUUCAAAUAGUCAGCAGGAAGGCGGAUAUGAGAUAUAAGUAUGCAAAUAAAUUUAUCUUAGAUACUUUUUCUUUUUUUAAGUAAUUAAAUGUUAAUGUUGGAUAUUAUAAUAAUUGAUGAUACAAAAAUAUAUGAUAAUAAUAUUUUAAUUAAAUAUAAAUUUAUAAUUAAUUUUUAAAAAAUCAAAUAUAUUAUUUUCAGGACUUAACUAAACACAUGAUAUAAAAUAUGAUACUAUUCUUCAUUCCAACCUCAUACCUAUACUAUUGUACGAAUCAAACGAUUAUAUCUGUCACUGUCCAACCCUCUAGUUGAAGUUAGUUUGGGUUAGUUUAGAUGGAUAAUUCAUAAAUAUUUAGAAUUAGAAAAAGUUAUAUAAAAUGCAAUCAAUUAAUUUUACAUGUGUUCUAGAACUUGAUAUUGUCAUUUAUUUAUCAUACUCCCUCUGUCCUAUUUUAGUUGUCACAUUUGGUUUUAUACCGAUCAAAUUGACUAAAAUUUGACUGAAAUUUAUUAAUAUUUUAUUAACUGAUAAAAUUAAAAAAAAAAUAUCAUCGGAAAUAACUUUUAAUCUACUUUAAGAUGUAAUUUUCAGUUUUUUAAAAUAAUGAAAGAGUGAUUCAUAAUUUUUAGUCAAAAUUUAAUCAAUUUGACCAAUAAAAAUAGAAAUUUGACAAUUAAAAUGGGACGGAGGGAGUAUGAUAUAUAUUAAACAUGAAUUUGCAUUUUUAGUCAAGUUUCAGGUGGUUUGUUAUGAUCAUCGAUCAUGACAGUAUUUUCCCUGAACUUGCAGCUUGACGCAUUUGUAAGUAUUUUUGUAACUAUUUUGUUAUAUCACAUACUCCUGUGAAACAAUUAUUUAUUAUAUUUUAUCGUGGCAAAUAAAAAUAUUAUUAUAUUUCAGAUGAAAUAAAUAUUUAUGUGCAUCAUAUUUAUGGAGUUAAUAAUAUAAAUAUAUAAUUUUGAUUUUAAUAUGUUUUUAAAUUCUAGUCUGAAAUUUUUAAUAAUAUAUUAAAUAUAAAAUAUAUAAUAUUUUUAAAUAUAACAAUUCUCACCUAUAUAUUUUAUACAAAAUUUAAUUAAAACAAUCAGAUAUACACAAAAUAUCUGCCAAUAAAUAAAAUUUUAUUUACUUCUUUUUACUUGAUAAAAUUAAAAUAUAAAUACAAACUUAGAUUUGCUAAUGUAUCUAUAUGCUUUUAACAAAAUUUAUGUACCCUGCAUAGGAGAUGAGAGAAAGCAAAAUCAACUCAAGGGACGUUUGAAUUAAGACUGGGAAUGAGAAUCGGGGCUCAUUAAUCAUGAACUAAACAUCACGAAGCAAGUUAACAUAAUAGAUAUACAAAAAUCAAAAUGAGUGACAUAUGCUCUGACGAUCUUUGUCAUUUUCGUUCAUCGAAUUGUAUAGUCAACUUUGGACCAAACCACUACAUAACCACAACAUUACACCAAAAGAAAAAUGAUGGUGCCGGGCCGGUGCCGUUCUUUGAUUUUUAUCUAAUAAUACACGGGCUGAAGUAAUCUUAAGAAAAUAUUUGUUACUUAUAAUAAUAGAUUAAUUAUAAAUGAAAAAUAAUUUUAUUUCAUAUGUUUUAAUAAUUUUUUUGAUGUUUACACCUUAUUAGGUAUAAAAAUUAUUAAUACAAUAACAAAUUAUUAUAGAUUAUCUUUUUUAAAGUGAUAUUCUGCAUAUUUGUAAAAUCAAAUUUUAAAACCAAAAAUAAUACACAAAAAAAUUAGAAUUUUCAACUUCAUUUAUAAAUUGAAAAUUAAUUUAUAAAUAAGUUGGCAAGUGCCGGCUAAACGCUAAAUAAAUUUCUGUGCCCAUGACACCACAGAAAAACUGACAAAAUAAGCUGCUUCUGGUCGGGCUUAACACCCUCGUGAUACCUUCUAUUUCAUUCCAACAAGUUGUCCAUAGACCGGGUCAGUGAAUGAACAAUGAUCCAGUAAAUGGAGGCAGAGACCAGACCGUAGAUAAGGAUCUGGAAAGAUAUACUCAUGAUGUCCUAGCCGGGACUGGUCUGAACCUUCAAUUCUUGUUGGGUGAGUGAACCAUCUUCCUUCGCCAUUAUCCCUUUAUUCAAACAAACAGUGCCUCACUUAUUGUAUCACUUACUAUUUCAUUCCAACAAGUUGUCUGGUUAGCUAAUCCAGACCAUACUGUUAAAAUCACAAAUAUUUAACACGAGGUUUGUCAUAUAUAUAUCUACAUUGCUACAAGAUUUAUUUUCCAUUAUUUAUACUGAAUAGUCGCUCAAGGCUACAGAUAAUGAAGUAUAAAGACAGUUUCACAGCAAAGUACAAGCUACUCAAUUCCAGGCUUAUAUUUCUUCAUGUAAUCAAACAUCAAUUACCCGCACAUGUCAGGUUCUCAUAGUACUUUUAGAAUCAAGUUUGCCCCAUGUUGAGGUGGUAUAGUUAGGACGGUGGAAGGAGCGUGUCUAUAGGAUGGGGAAAGCACAAAAGAAAAGCGUUGUAGAUCAUUGAUAGUGCCAUUUUAGCUUCCAGCAUUGCAAAAUUU